This 206-nucleotide ribosomal RNA is filed under the name uncultured bacterium. RNAcentral describes it as "partial 16S ribosomal RNA". It matches the Rfam family "Bacterial small subunit ribosomal RNA", at positions 568 to 774 of the family's 1533-position model. The record is from RNAcentral.
CACGUAGGCGGCUUUUUAAGUCGGGGUGAAAUCCUGGAGCUCAACUCCAGAACUGCCUUCGAUACUGGAAAGCUCGAGUCCGGGAGAGGUGAGUGGAACUGCGAGUGUAGAGGUGAAAUUCGUAGAUAUUCGCAAGAACACCAGUGGCGAAGGCGGCUCACUGGCCCGGUACUGACGCUGAGGUGCGAAAGCGUGGGGAGCAAACA